Molecule: ribosomal RNA, 254 nt
Filed under: uncultured bacterium
Lineage: Bacteria
Description: partial 16S ribosomal RNA
Rfam family: Bacterial small subunit ribosomal RNA
Source: RNAcentral
CACGUAGGGGGCAAGCGUUUGUCCGGAUUUAUUGGGCGUAAAGAGCUCGUAGGCGGCUCGGUAAGUCAGGUGUCAAAUCCCUCAGCUCAACCUGGGGCACCACCUGAUACUGCUGUGGCUAGAGUCCGGUAGGGGAGCGUGGAAUUCCUGGUGUAGCGGUGAAAUGCGCAGAUAUCAGGAGGAACACCAGCGGCGAAGGCGGCGCUCUGGGCCGGAACUGACGCUGAGGAGCGAAAGCGUGGGUAGCAAACAGG